CAGACGGGUGAGUAACGCGUGGGGAACCUGCCCUGUACCGGGGGAUAGCAGCCGGAAACGGCUGAUAAUACCGCAUAAGCGCACGAAUGUCGCAUGACAUGGUGUGAAAAACUCCGGUGGUAUAGGAUGGACCCGCGUCUGAUUAGCCGGUUGGUGGGGUAAAAGCCUACCAAAGCGAAGAUCAGUAGCCGAGUUGAGAGACUGACCGGCCACAUUGGGACUGAGACACGGCCCAGACUCCUACGGGAGGCAGCAGUC
Molecule: ribosomal RNA, 258 nt
Filed under: uncultured bacterium
Lineage: Bacteria
Description: partial 16S ribosomal RNA
Rfam family: Bacterial small subunit ribosomal RNA
Source: RNAcentral